GCCGCGGUGGUGGAAUUGGUAUACACGUACGCUUCAGAAGCGUAUGGAUGCAAAUCCUUGAGAGUUCGAAUCUCUCCCGCGGCACCA
Molecule: transfer RNA, 87 nt
Filed under: bacterium
Lineage: Bacteria
Description: tRNA-Leu
Rfam family: tRNA
About the family: Transfer RNA (tRNA) molecules are approximately 80 nucleotides in length. Their secondary structure includes four short double-helical elements and three loops (D, anti-codon, and T loops). Further hydrogen bonds mediate the characteristic L-shaped molecular structure. tRNAs have two regions of fundamental functional importance: the anti-codon, which is responsible for specific mRNA codon recognition, and the 3' end, to which the tRNAs corresponding amino acid is attached (by aminoacyl-tRNA synthetases). tRNAs cope with the degeneracy of the genetic code in two manners: having more than one tRNA (with a specific anti-codon) for a particular amino acid; and 'wobble' base-pairing, i.e. permitting non-standard base-pairing at the 3rd anti-codon position.
Source: RNAcentral